This 429-nucleotide long non-coding RNA is filed under the name Phoenix dactylifera (date palm). Its description in RNAcentral is "long non-coding RNA (PDAC_LNC014365)". Lineage: Eukaryota; Viridiplantae; Streptophyta; Magnoliopsida; Arecales; Arecaceae. The record is from RNAcentral.
GCUAAGGAAGCUGUCUGGAUGAAGAAGUUCAUCUCUGAGUUAGGAGUAGUUCCUGAGAUUGCUGGACCAGUCGCAGUUUAUUGUGAUAACACUGGAGCUGUUGCUCAAGCGAAGGAACUGAUGAGAGCACAAAAGUGCAAUCUACACAUCACUCAAAUUAGUAUUAUUGCUAACAAAUGAUGAUAGAAGUGCUGUAUUUUAUAUUUUUGUGGGGUGUAGGUGAUCGUAAAUUAAAGUUAAAAUACGCAUUGGGUCCAAAAAGAUGCAUCACCAUAUGUGACCAGCCAACCGUAUGGGUCAACCCCAGUUGCAUACUAGAAGGAGGUUAAGUUCAGCCUUUCAGGUUCACUGCAGCCAAUUCAAAGCAGCCUGUGCACCCGUUUGUGAUUCUCCCACUUCAUCCCAAGCGUCCGCGUGCAGCCCAUCAUU